CAUCCUUAACCCAGUUUUAGACCAUCUUGUCCUGAGAUACUGGCCAAAAGUGACGGACUUUCCGCAGUUUGCUUGGCCGUUUGGCUCUAAUCUGCCCCUACAAGUGUAGAGAGAACAUUGACCUUCUUCACUCGGACUGGGUCGGGAUGUGAACGGAGUGCCAUCAGAGGCGCCAUGUCCAACUUCUCCACCGCUCUCUUGGCGCUGUUUUCUGUCCUCUUGUGCGUGGAGCUCAUUCAAGGAGCGGAGUACAUGGGGUGUUACCAGGACAGCUGGUUCAGCCGCGUGCUACCGUAUGAAUACGCCUCGAAAAAUGACAUCAAGUCCUGCGGACUCCACUGCAAGAAUAACGGAUACAUCUACUACG
Long non-coding RNA from Branchiostoma floridae (Florida lancelet), 367 nucleotides. RefSeq lists it as uncharacterized. The transcript has 3 exons. Lineage: Eukaryota; Metazoa; Chordata; Leptocardii; Amphioxiformes; Branchiostomatidae. The record is from RefSeq and is a predicted model, not a curated record.